UGCGCAGGCGGACUAAUAAGUCAGUGGUGAAAUCUCUCGGCUCAACCGAGAAGCUGCCAUUGAAACUGUUAGUCUUGAGUAUAGUUGUAGUGGGCGGAAUAUGUCAUGUAGCGGUGAAAUGCUUAGAUAUGACAUAGAACACCGAUCGCGAAGGCAGCUCACUAAGCUAUAACUGACGCUCAGGCACGAAAGCGUGGGGAGCAAACAGGAUUAGAUACCCUGGUAGUCC
RNAcentral lists this ribosomal RNA (229 nucleotides) under uncultured bacterium. RNAcentral describes it as "partial 16S ribosomal RNA". It matches the Rfam family "Bacterial small subunit ribosomal RNA", at positions 568 to 796 of the family's 1533-position model. The record is from RNAcentral.